Molecule: ribosomal RNA, 492 nt
Filed under: uncultured bacterium
Lineage: Bacteria
Description: bacterial SSU rRNA
Rfam family: Bacterial small subunit ribosomal RNA
Source: RNAcentral
AUUGAACGCUGGCGGCAUGCUUUACACAUGCAAGUCGAGCGGCAGCGCGGGGGCAACCCUGGCGGCGAGCGGCGAACGGGUGAGGAAUACAUCGGAACGUGCCCGAGAGUGGGGGAUAACGCCGCGAAAGCGGCGCUAAUACCGCAUAUUCUCUGAGGAGGAAAGUGGGGGACCGCAAGGCCUCACGCUCACGGAGCGGCCGAUGUCGGAUUAGCUAGUUGGUGGGGUAAAGGCUUACCAAGGCGACGAUCCGUAGCUGGUCUGAGAGGAUGAUCAGCCACACUGGGACUGAGACACGGCCCAGACUCCUACGGGAAGCAGCAGUGGGGAAUUUUGGACAAUGGGGGCAACCCUGAUCCAGCCAUGCCGCGUGCGGGAAGAAGGUCCUCUGGAUUGUAAACCUCUUUUGGCAGGAAACAAACCUGCGCUAUACGCGCAGCUGAGGGUACCUGCAGAAUAAGCACCGGCUAACUCCGUGCCAGCAGCCGACGG